GAUUGACGCAACUCUGGUCGCACAAAGUCUGCAUCAGCAGGCACCGAAAUAUCAACUGUAGGUCUCAGUUCGGCGCAUACUUUAAUGGCUCCAUGUACUGGAUCUGACAUGAAGUUGCUGAUGAGGUCUUGGUUGAUGGGUGCACCAUUAUCCACAGAAACCAAGGCCUGCUGAGUAAGAAUGUAAUCAAAUCUUGGAGCCCAUUUCCUAGACCCCAACCGAGCUGUUGUUGAACAAUUGUCAACCAUGAAGGCAACUCCCCGAGCAUGCAUAAAAGGAUUCAAAGAAUCCACAGACUCAAUAACGCUUUCAUUAAUGAUCUCUGAAUAUGAAUGACCCUUCUUCC
Molecule: long non-coding RNA, 346 nt
Filed under: Prunus persica (peach)
Lineage: Eukaryota; Viridiplantae; Streptophyta; Magnoliopsida; Rosales; Rosaceae
Description: long non-coding RNA (PPER_LNC003289)
Source: RNAcentral